RNAcentral lists this ribosomal RNA (577 nucleotides) under uncultured bacterium. RNAcentral describes it as "bacterial SSU rRNA". It matches the Rfam family "Bacterial small subunit ribosomal RNA", at positions 821 to 1394 of the family's 1533-position model. The record is from RNAcentral.
UGUGGGGGACAUUCCACGUUUUCCGCGCCGCAGCUAACGCAUUAAGUGCCCCGCCUGGGGAGUACGGCCGCAAGGCUAAAACUCAAAGGAAUUGACGGGGGCCCGCACAAGCGGCGGAGCAUGCGGAUUAAUUCGAUGCAACGCGAAGAACCUUACCAAGGCUUGACAUGUUCUCGAUCGCCACAGAGAUGUGGUUUCCCCUUUGGGGCGGGUUCACAGGUGGUGCAUGGUUGUCGUCAGCUCGUGUCGUGAGAUGUUGGGUUAAGUCCCGCAACGAGCGCAACCCUCGUUCCAUGUUGCCAGCGGGUUAUGCCGGGGACUCAUGGGAGACUGCCGGGGUCAACUCGGAGGAAGGUGGGGACGACGUCAAAUCAUCAUGCCCCUUAUGUCUUGGGCUUCACGCAUGCUACAAUGGCCGGUACAAUGGGUUGCGAUACUGUGAGGUGGAGCUAAUCCCAAAAAGCCGGUCUCAGUUCGGAUUGGGGUCUGCAACUCGACCCCAUGAAGUCGGAGUCGCUAGUAAUCGCAGAUCAGCAACGCUGCGGUGAAUACGUUCCCGGGCCUUGUACACACCGCC